RNAcentral lists this long non-coding RNA (317 nucleotides) under Aotus nancymaae (Ma's night monkey). RNAcentral's name for it is "lncRNA (ENSANAG00000038882.1)". Lineage: Eukaryota; Metazoa; Chordata; Mammalia; Primates; Aotidae. The record is from RNAcentral.
CCAUUUCAAGUCCCUGAAUCUUUUCCAUUUAUGUCCUUCCUUUCUCAGUAGCCACAACAUCUUCUGGAGCAAGUGGAAUGACUGGGGCUGGACUCACCUCAGAUACAUCUGGAGUGCCCUCUGCUACAACAAUUGCCCCUGGGAGUUCCAACUCAGAAGCCACAACUUCUGUAGGAGAAAAUGGAAAAACAAGAGCUCAAAUAAUCACAGGUACUACUGAGGGCAUCUCUGGCAAAGUUCAGGAACCUGGAAGUGCCUACACAGAGGCCACAACUAUCCCAGGAGGCAGCGGGAAAACCCGAGCAGGACCACCUGGA